This 595-nucleotide non-coding RNA is filed under the name Mycoplasmoides gallisepticum S6. The record is from RNAcentral. Lineage: Bacteria; Bacillati; Mycoplasmatota; Mycoplasmoidales; Mycoplasmoidaceae.
UAAGAUAAUGAAUAAACUGUUUUAGAAAAAUCACGAUAGUGAUCAUUAAGGAUCGUUCUAGGUAGACCUAAAAAUCCAGUAGAGUCAGCUAAGUUAAUAAAAUUUAAUCCAGUACCUAAAACUCCAGGUUGAUAAGCUGGAAUUAAAUUAGGACCGUCUAAGUCUUUUCUUUGAACAAGACCACUUCCAAUACUUCCAUCUUCACCGAUAUUAGGUAAUAAAAAACCAUAACCAAAAGCAUCACGAUAGGUUGGUAAACCUAAUUUCUUAGCUUUAUCAUCAUAUUCUUUUAAUUUUUCUGGAGGAAUAUCAUUAGGGUUAGUUACCCCUGCAUUUGGUGUUGAAGUCUCACUAACAGGUCCUUCACCUCUAGCCUUGCUUACAUUAUUAAGGUUGAUGUAAGCAUCAUAAUUAGGGUAUUGAUUUGCAACUACUCUUUUACCAUUAAUGAUUGCGUUAUUUACUUGAGGGUCUGGUAACGAAAUUGAGUUUGCUGCGCUACUCCCACCACCAGGACCAAAAGAGUUUCCACCAUUAUUAGGAUUAGAGGGAUCGCUUGGAUUGGGUUUUCUUUCUUCGUUUGGUGGAUCCUCAG